UACGUAGGGUGCGAGCGUUGUCCGGAUUUAUUGGGCGUAAAGGGCUCGUAGGCGGCGUGUCGCGUCGGGAGUGAAAGCCCGUUGCUUAACGGCGGGUUGGCUUUCGGUACGGGCAUGCUGGAGUGCGGCAGGGGAGACUGGAAUUCCUGGUGUAGCGGUGGAAUGCGCAGAUAUCAGGAGGAACACCGGUGGCGAAGGCGAGUCUCUGGACAUUUCCUGACGCUGAGGCACGAAAGCCAGGGGAGCAAACGGG
RNAcentral lists this ribosomal RNA (253 nucleotides) under uncultured bacterium. RNAcentral's name for it is "partial 16S ribosomal RNA". It matches the Rfam family "Bacterial small subunit ribosomal RNA", at positions 524 to 776 of the family's 1533-position model. The record is from RNAcentral.